CUCGACUGUGCAUGUUGUCCUUUAAAAGAUUUCAGUGUAUUGGGUGAAAAAAGCAUCUGGCUCUAAGUUAGCGAUCAUCAACGGCUUCACGUACUACUGUAGCAUCAAGAGCAAAACGACGAGCGCAUGGCGCUGCACGAAGGGCAGAAAUUGCAAAGCACGCUUCACUCUCCACAAUGAAUCUAACAAAGUUUUAAAACUAGAAAUGUUGCAUGAUCACGAACCACCGCAGUUUAUUAUUCGCAAUGGAAUUUAUAUGAAAGUUUAUAAUAGUAGAUACUGUUAGAACUAAGAUAGUGGCUGUGUAGUGUGGUGCAGCUACGUAGCGUGUCAUUGCGCAAGUCAGUGAUGUAUUAUUAAAACCAUUGCGAAGACGAAAAAA
This 382-nucleotide unclassified non-coding RNA is filed under the name Melitaea cinxia (Glanville fritillary). RNAcentral describes it as "misc RNA ENSMCXG00005020255.1". The record is from RNAcentral. Lineage: Eukaryota; Metazoa; Arthropoda; Insecta; Lepidoptera; Nymphalidae.